This is a long non-coding RNA of Panthera uncia (snow leopard), 833 nucleotides long. RefSeq lists it as uncharacterized. NCBI's taxonomy places the organism in Eukaryota, Metazoa, Chordata, Mammalia, Carnivora, Felidae. The transcript has 5 exons. The record is from RefSeq and is a predicted model, not a curated record.
GCUAUGUUAUUUUUUCACCUUCUUCUGCCAUGCUGGUACCUCUAUGAGGGCUGACAUCCAUAGACAGCUCAUACAUGCUCUCUGCCAGCUGGUGAUGCUGGAAUAGAGAAUGAUGAACAUGUAUCAGAGAUCGUGAAAUCAACAGCAAAGGAAAGAAUACAUCUUCCUUGUAGAAAAUGCAGAGAAGUAUAGAGAAGGGCAAAGGCAGACCUUCCGAGGACACCGUACAGCUCCAUUAUGUUAUAACUAGUAACAUAAUUGGAGUUUUAUGCAUCAAAGCUUUGCAGAGGCACAGAUGGAAAGCAACUCUUGGAAUUCCCUCAGUAACCGUGGUUCAGGCUUAGCUGCUCAAUACAGAAAUAUUAAAUAUUAAUUGUGUGCCAGGCACCAGACACAAAGGAGCCACCUUCAAAGAGCUCGCAUCACACUGCCCGUGAUCCUUUUCCAUUGCCGCUCGGAACCAAUGACCACAAACUCAGUGGCUUCAGAAAACACAAAGUUAUUCCAGAGCUCUGGAGACCAGACAAAUGAAAUGGUUCUCAGCAGGCUAAAACCGAGGUAACGACAUAAGGAUUUCAAAUCUCCCUUUCUUCAUGAAAUUCUUUACAACCGUCUCAAAAAGAAUUGAGUGCUUCCUUCUCUGAAUCCCCAUAAAAUGGCUACCUACCACCGAGAAGGUCUCCAUGACACGGACAGAAUCCCGCUUGGUAAUCUCAUGCCUGCCACAUGGAAAGAGGUCAGCAAACAUUUUUAAAUGAAUGAGUGGAAGGAUGAAUCGAUGAAUCAGUGAAUCAAUGAAUCAACGAAUGAAUAAAAAGGUUUCUGUCAGCUGA